Long non-coding RNA from Mesoplodon densirostris (Blainville's beaked whale), 267 nucleotides. RefSeq lists it as uncharacterized. Lineage: Eukaryota; Metazoa; Chordata; Mammalia; Artiodactyla; Ziphiidae. The transcript has 3 exons. The record is from RefSeq and is a predicted model, not a curated record.
CCUGUUGCCUGAAAAUGAUCGACGGAACGAAACUAGAGCUCAGCUUCUUGCUCAGAUGGACGUCAGUAUGGGAGGAAGAGUGGCAGAGGAACUUAUAUUUGGAGCUGAUCAUAUUACAACAGGUGCUUCCAGUGAUUUUGAUAAUGCAACCCAAAUAGCAAAGCAGAUGGUCACCAAAUUUGGAAUGAGUGAAAAGCUUGGAGUUAUGACCUACAGUGAUACAGGGAAACUGAGUCCAGAAACUAUAUCUGCUAUUGAACAGGAAAC